Molossus molossus (Pallas's mastiff bat) is the source of this 130-nucleotide small nucleolar RNA. The record is from RefSeq and is a predicted model, not a curated record. Lineage: Eukaryota; Metazoa; Chordata; Mammalia; Chiroptera; Molossidae.
GUGCAAACUCAUUCACUAACUAUGCGUGAUGUUGCAGAACUGAGGGGAAUUCGGUUUGCUAAAGUAAUUGUGAUUGAAAUGUAAUAGCCUCAGAAACAGCUGAGUUGGUCCAUUCUCUCCUCAUACAGUG